UGUUUAUAUUGAAUUAAUCAAUCUUUUUUUUUGCUUCCAGGACAACCAGUGUCACAAACAAUCACCACAAGAGGAGGAGCAUUGACACAAACGUUCGACACAUAUGGAGGACUAGUGGAUCAAAGGAUCGACACAGGAAUUGGAGCAGUGG
Molecule: long non-coding RNA, 151 nt
Organism: Anoplophora glabripennis (Asian longhorned beetle)
Lineage: Eukaryota; Metazoa; Arthropoda; Insecta; Coleoptera; Cerambycidae
Exons: 4
Source: RefSeq, a predicted model, not a curated record